Molecule: unclassified non-coding RNA, 240 nt
Filed under: soil metagenome
Description: partial contains 5.8S ribosomal RNA, internal transcribed spacer 2, and large subunit ribosomal RNA
Source: RNAcentral
AACAAGGCGUACCUGCGGACCUGCGGAGGGAUCAUUAUAGAAUUUAAUUUUUUUUACUCCUUAAGGGGGGUUUAAAAAAAAAUUCCAAACCCUUUUGUUUUAAAAACCUUUGUUGCUUUGGUAAGGAGAGGGAUGAAGGGGGGGGGAGGGUUUUUCCCUUUUCUCCUCUUCCCCCUUACCAAAGGAAAUUUUAAAAACUCUGAUUUUUUUAACUGUCUGAAAAUUUUUUAAAAUGAAAUA